Molecule: long non-coding RNA, 166 nt
Organism: Nerophis ophidion (straightnose pipefish)
Lineage: Eukaryota; Metazoa; Chordata; Actinopteri; Syngnathiformes; Syngnathidae
Exons: 3
Source: RefSeq, a predicted model, not a curated record
UGUUUUAAUGUCACAGGAAGAACAGAAGUGCCAAUUCCUUCAAGAUAGACUCGGUUCCUGUCAAGGCGGUGAGGUGUGACACCACGGUGGCGUCGUACUGUCCCUUUAAGAAGCCCUUGCGACACUGCCCCAGGUUGUACUGUCCCAGGAACUGUCUUCAUGACAG